This 493-nucleotide long non-coding RNA is filed under the name Gallus gallus (chicken). RNAcentral describes it as "long non-coding RNA NONGGAT008161". The record is from RNAcentral. Lineage: Eukaryota; Metazoa; Chordata; Aves; Galliformes; Phasianidae.
CAGAUUAACAAAAUCAGCAGAUAUAAAUUAGGAAAUGAAGAUGGAGGAGAGAAAAGAAACUGCUUUUGUCCCAGCGCUGGCUCUUGAAAGUACCUUCUCCUUCUAUGAAAGCUCUCUAAUGCGUACUGGGAUAAGUAAGAGAGUUUUUCAAAGCCUCAACAGGAAGAGAUAGCCUCAAGGCUGAUAUUUAGAAAAAGCUUCUAUGGAAAAAGAAUAUGAGGCAUUACUUUUGGUACAGCCUACGUAGAAAAGAACUCUCAGGUCAAGGAAAAUGGAGAGAUUGUCUCUCUGAAGAGGUGGUGGAGUAGCUGUUCAGUAAAUCUGGAAGGUUGGGAGAAGUUCAUGCAAGUCAGAACAGAAAAGAGCUGAUUAUGAAAGUGAAAGAAAAGCUUUCCCAAGCAUUGGAUGCAUUUGAUAUUCAUGCAAACUGAAGCUUUUAAGGUGUACCGUGAAGAAGAAAUUACUACUUUCAUACAGCAGAACCCAUCCCUGG